This 253-nucleotide ribosomal RNA is filed under the name uncultured bacterium. RNAcentral describes it as "partial 16S ribosomal RNA". It matches the Rfam family "Bacterial small subunit ribosomal RNA", at positions 524 to 776 of the family's 1533-position model. The record is from RNAcentral.
UACGUAGGGGGCAAGCGUUGUCCGGAUUUAUUGGGCGUAAAGGGCGCGUAGGCGGUUGGAUAAGUCAGCUGUGAAAACCACGGGCUUAACUCGUGGCCUGCAGUUGAGACUGUCUGGCUUGAGUGUGGGAGAGGAGAGUGGAAUUCCUGGUGUAGCGGUGAAAUGCGUAGAUAUCAGGAGGAGCACCGGUGGCGAAGGCGGCUCUCUGGACCACAACUGACGCUGAGGCGCGAAAGCUAGGGGAGCAAACAGG